GACGAACGCUGGCGGCGUGCUUAACACAUGCAAGUCGAGCGGUAAGGCCCUUCGGGGUACACGAGCGGCGAACGGGUGAGUAACACGUGGGUGACCUGCCUCUAGCUCUGGGAUAAGCCUGGGAAACUGGGUCUAAUACCGGAUAUGACUCCACGGCGCAUGUUGUGGGGUGGAAAGCCUUGUGUGGCUAGAGAUGGGCCCGCGGCCUAUCAGCUUGUUGGUGGGGUGAUGGCCUACCAAGGCGACGACGGGUAGCCGGCCUGAGAGGGCGACCGGCCACACUGGGACUGGGACACGGCCCAGACUCCUACGGGAGGC
Molecule: ribosomal RNA, 318 nt
Filed under: uncultured bacterium
Lineage: Bacteria
Description: bacterial SSU rRNA
Rfam family: Bacterial small subunit ribosomal RNA
Source: RNAcentral